GAUUGAAUUAGUGACCUUCAACUUGAUUUCGAGCCGAUUUUAAUAAAUAUUUAUGAUUUGAGUUCUGUGAUGUAGCUGCAAUAUCUGAAGGAAAUGGUUUUGAAUCAUUCAUAAUGAAUUAGCUCUGAUUUUAUUUGCAUAAAUGUCAAAAACAAUCUAAGCCUUUGUAUCCAUUUGCUAUUAGACUUAAACUUUUUUUAAAUAAUUAUAUCUAAUUUUAAAAUUUUGUUAUAUU
This 235-nucleotide unclassified non-coding RNA is filed under the name Hevea brasiliensis (rubber tree). The record is from RNAcentral. Lineage: Eukaryota; Viridiplantae; Streptophyta; Magnoliopsida; Malpighiales; Euphorbiaceae.